GGGGGGGGGCAAGCGUUGUUCGGAAUUACUGGGCGUAAAGGGCGCGCAGGCGGGCGGGAAAGGUCUCUCGUGAAAUCCCACGGGCUCAACCGCGGAAUUGCGGGAGAUACUACUCGUCUUGAGUUCGGGAGAGGAGUGUGGAAUUCCCAGUGUAGCGGUGAAAUGCGUAGAUAUUGGGAGGAACACCGGUGGCGAAGGCGGCACUCUGGACCGAUACUGACGCUGAGGCGCGAAAGCUAGGGGAGCAAACGGGAUUAGAUACCCCGGUAGUCCUAGCUGUAAACGCUGAGCACUUGGUGUAGCGGGUAUCGACCCCUGCUGUGCCGAAGCUAACGCAUUAAGUGCUCCGCCUGGGGAGUACGGUCGCAAAGGCUG
Molecule: ribosomal RNA, 375 nt
Filed under: uncultured organism
Description: partial 16S ribosomal RNA
Rfam family: Bacterial small subunit ribosomal RNA
Source: RNAcentral